GACGAACGCUGGCGGCGUGCUUAACACAUGCAAGUCGAACGGAAAGGCCCUGCUUUUGUGGGGUGCUCGAGUGGCGAACGGGUGAGUAACACGUGAGUAACCUGCCCUUGACUUUGGGAUAACUUCAGGAAACUGGGGCUAAUACCGGAUAGGAGCUCCUGCUGCAUGGUGGGGGUUGGAAAGUUUCGGCGGUUGGGGAUGGACUCGCGGCUUAUCAGCUUGUUGGUGGGGUAGUGGCUUACCAAGGCUUUGACGGGUAGCCGGCCUGAGAGGGUGACCGGCCACAUUGGGACUGAGAUACGGCCCAGACUCCUACGGGAGGCAGCAGUGGGGAAUAUUGCACAAUGGGCGGAAGCCUGAUGCAGCAACGCCGCGUGCGGGAUGACGGCCUUCGGGUUGUAAACCGCUUUCGCCUGUGACGAAGCGUGAGUGACGGUAAUGGGUAAAGAAGCACCGGCUAACUACGUGCCAGCAGCCGCGGUGAUACGUAGGGUGCGAGCGUUGUCCGGAUUUAUUGGGCGUAAAGGGCUCGUAGGUGGUUGAUCGCGUCGGAAGUGUAAUCUUGGGGCUUAACCCUGAGCGUGCCUUCGAUACGGGUUGACUUGAGGAAGGUAGGGGAGAAUGGAAUUCCUGGUGGAGCGGUGGAAUGCGCAGAUAUCAGGAGGAACACCAGUGGCGAAGGCGGUUCUCUGGGCCUUUCCUGACGCUGAGGAGCGAAAGCGUGGGGAGCGAACAGGCUUAGAUACCCUGGUAGUCCACGCUGUAAACGGUGGGUACUAGGUGUGGGGUCCAUUCCACGGGUUCCGUGCCGUAGCUAACGCUUUAAGUACCCCGCCUGGGGAGUACGGCCGCAAGGCUAAAACUCAAAGGAAUUGACGGGGCCCCGCACAAGCGGCGGAGCAUGCGGAUUAAUUCGAUGCAACGCGUAGAACCUUACCUGGGUUUGACAUGGAUCGGGAGCGCUCAGAGAUGGGUGUGCCUCUUUUGGGGUCGGUUCACAGGUGGUGCAUGGCUGUCGUCAGCUCGUGUCGUGAGAUGUUGGGUUAAGUCCCGCAACGAGCGCAACCCUUGUUCACUGUUGCCAGCACGUUAUGGUGGGGACUCAGUGGAGACCGCCGGGGUCAACUCGGAGGAAGGUGGGGAUGACGUCAAGUCAUCAUGCCCCUUAUGUCCAGGGCUUCACGCAUGCUACAAUGGCUGGUACAGAGAGUGGCGAGCCUGUGAGGGUGAGCGAAUCUCGGAAAGCCGGUCUCAGUUCGGAUUGGGGUCUGCAACUCGACCUCAUGAAGUCGGAGUCGCUAGUAAUCGCAGAUCAGCAACGCUGCGGUGAAUACGUUCCCGGGGCU
RNAcentral lists this ribosomal RNA (1346 nucleotides) under uncultured bacterium. RNAcentral describes it as "bacterial SSU rRNA". It matches the Rfam family "Bacterial small subunit ribosomal RNA", at positions 28 to 1381 of the family's 1533-position model. The record is from RNAcentral.